UCAUGAAUAUGUGUUAAGUUGUGAGGACGACACUAAACCGAACCCGAACGGAAGUCUUGAAGCUCCGACACAAGGAUGCAAUCUACAAUUACCGCUACUAAGUUUCGAUGAUGUGUUGUUGUUGCAAUGUCGACACGAUGUGGAGAAAGUGUUAGGAUUUGUUGCAGCGUUGAAGAGAAUUGAAGGCUUGUUGAUGAUAAUGAUGCGAUGUUGUUGAGUAAUGAAGAAUGGAUGAAGAUGAGAGGCAAAUAAAGAGUUUGUUCUGUGAUUCUUCAUAGAUUGAAGAAUGAAUGAGAGAAGACGAAUAUUGUAGAUUGUGAAGAAGCUCGGUGAUGGAGGGUGAAGAUUGGAAGAGGAAGAAGAGAGAAUUUUAGAGAGUGAUUCUUCUAUAGAGAUUGAAGAAUGAUCCAU
Non-coding RNA from Vicia faba (fava bean), 411 nucleotides. The record is from the annotation of a GenBank genome assembly. NCBI's taxonomy places the organism in Eukaryota, Viridiplantae, Streptophyta, Magnoliopsida, Fabales, Fabaceae.